Fukomys damarensis (Damara mole-rat) is the source of this 953-nucleotide long non-coding RNA. RefSeq lists it as uncharacterized. The transcript is spliced from 3 exons. The record is from RefSeq and is a predicted model, not a curated record. NCBI's taxonomy places the organism in Eukaryota, Metazoa, Chordata, Mammalia, Rodentia, Bathyergidae.
CUGGGAAGAUGAAUGUCUGAUGAGGAAAGCUGCAUUCAGUGAAUGAAACCAGCUCAAGAGAGAAGCCUUGAGGCUGCAUCUGGGGUCCAGAGUUAACAGCAUUCCUUGAGUCUUGGAGGAAACUUUGGCCUUGACCUUUUCAGCAGUGCUUGAAUGGUUAAAACUGGUGCCUCUUCAGGAAGGACUGAAAAGAUUUUAUAUAAAGAGACACACAUGGGUCCUUUGGGAUCUGGGGGCAUAAUGUUAUCGUUUGGGUCAAGAAUGACUUCCAAAAGACCAUGUGCUCCAAGGUGGGGCUUAUGGCAGGGGGUUUCCUCUUUGAAAUGAGAAUGGACCACCUUCUCAGCAGUUCCCAGCAACAUCUUGAAUGGGGAGAGCUCUUCUGUUUCUUCAAGUAAAACUUCUGCACACGUGACAAGAAAUGCUGAGCAAAAUGGUACUGUCUGGAAGGUCAGAAGGCUUCGCAGAGGAGGGGACAUUGAAGCUGAGUCUUGAAGAAGCACAGGAGAGCUCUAAAGCGAAGAGGAGGAAAAGUGUGUGCUCAGGUCCACAGCCCAUCAAAGCAGAGGCAUGGCCGGUGAGCACCAGUGUUCCCUAAGUGAAGUCUCCCAGGGUUGAGCAGCACCUCUGAGACUCCAGGUGACUUAUAGAGCUUCUCCAGGUUGUGCUCAUUUUGAGUCCCAGCGCCAGUGAGCAGCAGGCACCACAGGGACAUUGCAUAUAUUCGUGACUUUGAUCUCCAUUUGUUUAUCAGGUAGUUGCUGUCUAGCCUCACUCAUUGCAGGUGAAGGCAGGAAUUUGAGGAUCACAUGGCUACUCAUGGGUCCCCCAUGAGUACUCAGUCCUUUCCCCCCAGGUGAGGAGGCCAAUUUCAGUGCACUCAUUUGGUGUCUCCCAUGGGACAAGCAUGCUGUCCACAGACUUAUUAUAUGAUAAAGCCGGAAUGAGCCACG